UAGGGAAUCUUCGGCAAUGGACGAAAGUCUGACCGAGCAACGCCGCGUGAGUGAAGAAGGUUUUCGGAUCGUAAAAACUCUGUUGUUAGAGAAGAACAAGGGUGAGAGUAACUGUUCACCCCUUGACGGUAUCUAACCAGAAAGCCAACGGCUAACUACGUGCCAG
Molecule: ribosomal RNA, 166 nt
Filed under: uncultured bacterium
Lineage: Bacteria
Description: partial 16S ribosomal RNA
Rfam family: Bacterial small subunit ribosomal RNA
Source: RNAcentral